RNAcentral lists this ribosomal RNA (256 nucleotides) under uncultured bacterium. Its description in RNAcentral is "partial 16S ribosomal RNA". It matches the Rfam family "Bacterial small subunit ribosomal RNA", at positions 524 to 776 of the family's 1533-position model. The record is from RNAcentral.
UACAGAGGGUGCAAGCGUUAAUCGGAAUUACUGGGCGUAAAGCGUGCGUAGACGGUUAUGUAAGUCAGAUGUGAAAGCCCCGGGCUUAACCUGGGAAUGGCAUUUGAGACUGCAUAGCUAGGGUGCGGAAGAGGGAAGCGGAAGUUUCCGGUGAUAGCGGUGAAAUGCGUAGAUAUCGGAAGGAACACCAGUGGCGAAGGCGGGUCUCUGGGCCGUAACUGACGCUGAGGAGCGAAAGCAUGGGGAGCCGAACAGG